RNAcentral lists this ribosomal RNA (301 nucleotides) under uncultured bacterium. RNAcentral describes it as "partial 16S ribosomal RNA". It matches the Rfam family "Bacterial small subunit ribosomal RNA", at positions 509 to 807 of the family's 1533-position model. The record is from RNAcentral.
CAGUCGCCACGGUAAUGCGAAGGGUGCAAGCGUUAAUCGGAAUUACUGGGCGUAAAGCGUGCGUAGGCGGUGAGUUAAGUCUGCUGUGAAAUCCCCGGGCUCAACCUGGGAAUGGCAGUGGAUACUGGCUCGCUAGAGUGUGUCAGAGGAUGGUGGAAUUCCCGGUGUAGCGGUGAAAUGCGUAGAGAUCGGGAGGAACAUCAGUGGCGAAGGCGGCCAUCUGGGACAACACUGACGCUGAGGCACGAAAGCGUGGGGAGCAAACAGGAUUAGAUACCCGCGUAGUCCCUGUCUCUUAUAC